Molecule: long non-coding RNA, 745 nt
Filed under: Brachypodium distachyon (stiff brome)
Lineage: Eukaryota; Viridiplantae; Streptophyta; Magnoliopsida; Poales; Poaceae
Description: long non-coding RNA (BDIS_LNC002892)
Source: RNAcentral
ACGACGUAGAUUGUGUCCGCCUAGAGUGACAAUCGUGCUGCGUGAGACGCCUGCUCAGUGCUCACCGAAUUUGUUGAAGAAUCCUGUUUAUUGAGAUUCAUGUGUUCUUAAGUACUCUAUCAGGGAAACAGUCUAGGAAUAAUAAUCCUGGUGGAUUAGUGACCAUAUAUAUAAUAUAUUCGUUCAUAGAAGAUAGAAGGUAGCAUGUGUGGUGUCCUCAAAGUGGAUUGGGCACCUUUGUCGCUGAUUCAAGAGAGCGUGAUCCUCAAAGUGAGUACCAUAUACAAUACGAGGAUUUCCCCUUCCCUGCCGCCUGGCUGCUCAGCAGCAGGGUUGCGCCGUUCGUCGUCAUCAUCGGCAUGUGACUGCUCUCUCGCUGGCGAGGCUUUCUCCUUGUCCUCUGCGGGGGCUGGCGUGUUGGGUUGCCAAUGGUGUUGUUCGACGUUCUCAGCGCCGUUGGGGCCUGCUGUUCGAGCCGCCCGUCGUUCUUCUAUCCUUCUCGUGCUUUUUUUUUUAAUCGAGUAGCUCACAGUCAUACCUCGUAGACUCUGAUGUGUAUGUAUUUAUUUUGUCAGUUGUUUUUUGAUUUAUUUUUUCUCAAACAUGCCCAAUAGCGUGUCUUUUUCAUAAAAAAAAGGGAGAGGCGCAAGAAACGCAAUUAGAUGCAACAAUAUAAAGCAAAAGUUACAUAAUAAAGUGAAACAAAACUAUAAGGGGCAAGCGGAGGGUGGAGUCAGGUAGCGAG